CAAGUCCUUCUCAACAGCAGUCUGAACUCAGCGGUUCACAAACACAAAGUUGUGCUAUGGGAAGAUUACUGACGGCUCAUUGACAAGAACUGGAAUAUGCAACCUGCAUACAAGGACGUUUUGAUAUCUUUGUCCUGGUGAAGUGAGGAGUCUGGAAUUAAACUACAUGUAAUACACACCAGGGCAUAGGACAGCACUCAGUCUUGUGUGUUGGUGCUCACCGCACCUUACCAUUUAAAGGAUCUCCCUGCUCAGCACUGUGAAAAGACUCCCACAUCAGCCUGCUGGGCAGACAUUUCCUUUCCAGAGAAUACAGAGGUGAUAUGUUCAUGUUAAGAGCGAAAAUGCAAGUCCUGCUGAGAGACUGGAACUCUUAUGAUUGCUGGAUGAGGAUUUUGCUGCGCCAUUCAACCCUACCCGCAGCGGCCCACGUUCUGCAGUCUGGCUGGGUGCUACGUACAGCGUGUCUUUGGUGAAUCACUUGUGACUCUAUCCCUGUCGCUGGAUCUCGGAAUGGAUGACCUUAGAGAUUUUGCAGCCCACCUAAGCCUUCCUAAUUAACAUGUUCUCAAGUUCUCUUUGCCUCCCUACUCGUGAUAUUUGUGGUAUUUCAUUGCUACAUCUUGUGGUGGCCAUCAAGGGACAUUGCAAUUGGAAAUGAGUCUGUGCAUUGGAGAGAUGGACAAACCCACCUUCAGUGCUGCUGCGGUUGCCCAGAAGUCAGUGAAGUGACAUGAAGAGGGAACAGCGGCCAUUAGAUUUCUUCACAAAGCGAGCUUCCUCGUUCUCUGUCCAUCAUAACUUCAGUAAAGCCAGUGGUCUGGAUUCUGCAGAAAAAUGAGACCAUUACCCAACAGUGCUGGGGCAGCCAGAGAGUGGCACCUGAACUGUUUCUGGAAACCCACAAAGAACUUGACCUGCGACGAUGGUCCCUUGGGUGGGCAGAACACUACAAGCAACGGCGCACUGCUCCCUGUGCUUGCCAGGUGCAUAUCAGAUUCCCACAAAG
RNAcentral lists this long non-coding RNA (1009 nucleotides) under Gallus gallus (chicken). RNAcentral's name for it is "long non-coding RNA NONGGAT002787". The record is from RNAcentral. Lineage: Eukaryota; Metazoa; Chordata; Aves; Galliformes; Phasianidae.